Molecule: ribosomal RNA, 513 nt
Filed under: uncultured bacterium
Lineage: Bacteria
Description: partial 16S ribosomal RNA
Rfam family: Bacterial small subunit ribosomal RNA
Source: RNAcentral
GACGAACGCUGGCGGCGUGCUUAACACAUGCAAGUCGAACGAAAAGAGGGAAAGAGCUUGCUCUUUCCGGAAUUGAGUGGCAAACGGGUGAGUAACACGUAAACAACCUGCCUUCAGGAUGGGGACAACAGACGGAAACGACUGCUAAUACCGAAUAAGUUCCAAGGACCGCAUGGCCCAUGGAAGAAAAGGUGGCCUCUACCUGUAAGCUAUCGCCUGAAGAGGGGUUUGCGUCUGAUUAGCUGGUUGGAGGGGUAACGGCCCACCAAGGCGACGAUCAGUAGCCGGUCUGAGAGGAUGAACGGCCACACUGGAAUUGAGACACGGUCCAGACUCCUACGGGAGGCAGCAGUGGGGAAUCUUCCGCAAUGGGCGAAAGCCUGACGGAGCAACGCCGCGUGAGUGAUGACGGCCUUCGGGUUGUAAAACUCUGUGAUCCGGGACGAAAAGGCAGAGUGCGAAGAACAAACUGCAUUGACGGUACCGGAAAAGCAAGCCACGGCUAACUACGUG